AGCCGCUAUUCACAGUAUGUACAGAACAAAACCAACCCGACCGAUGCACUGAACUGAACCACGUACAAAAAUAAAGACUCUACGGGGCGCCCCCCCCGCCCCGCGGAAAAUAGAAAUCAGUCGCUACAGCACAGUGCUCAAACAUGGCAGCGCUGCCCCCACCGGGCCCCAGCUGGCGCCUGCCGCAGGCCCAGUGGCACAUCGCUCAGGUGGGCCCUGCCCACGUUCCUCACCCCAGGCCCCCCCCAGGGCAGCCCCCGGCUGCAGGACCCUGGAGAGCUGCUCUGCAGUGCUGCCCGCCAGGGUCUGCGAGGCCAUGGUGGGAGGGGGGUGCUCAGUCCACCCCACGCGUCUGCCCCGGGCCGGAGGCCCCGCAGCGGGAACCCCGCAGGGCUAGUGUCUCACUGCAGGCACAGCCGCCAGGGCUCAGCCCCUGCCGUUUGGUCGUUACCGGCUGGCUGCUCCUGGCACUGGCGCAGGAGAGGGCCGGGGCCCUCGGGAGCCCGAGCGGGUCAGUUAAAGCCCUUGGGAGCUGGGCGCUCUGGCUUCCCGCUGGCCUCAGUGCCCCAGAGCCAAUGAAACAGACGCCCCCAGUGGCAGGGCCAGAGUCCCGAGGGUCGGCCCCCUGGAACGCCCGGUUCCCACAGUGGUGACAGGCUGGCCAGGGGGCAGGGGCCUAACGCUGCAGAGGGCACCAGGUGGACGGUCCGGAGCCCAGCGCCCCCUGAAUCCAGCUUUGACUAUCCCCUGGGCGCCCCCCUGCAGCGGCGGUGCCCGCAGCCCGGCUGCUGUCUGGGGGUGGGGUUGGCUAGUCAUCUUAAAGUGAAGUGAAACUGGUUUCCAGCUGCUCGGUGGGGGGCGGGGGGCAGGGGAGCAGCUGCCUGAUCCAAUCAAUCCAUGCGGCUGGAGCGCCGGCUUUGUGCAAACGGCCACAGAGGAAGACUUGGCUGGCUAGUCGCUCGCAGAGCAGCUGCUUUGGGGGGGGAGGGCUGGAGUUUUGCCAUUUAGAUCCCCCUUUUCAAAAGUUAACCCCCAUCUCAUCCUCCCAGGAAAGGGGGAGCUAUGGCCUCAAUGGGGGAGGGGAAAGGGGACGAAAUGAACCCCCAAGCAAUGGGAGAAAAAAAUCUGAUUACAGAAAAAUAAAAACUUCUCUCCCCCCCACACGUUCCAAAAAUAAUUAAUAUACAAUAAAUUACCAGGUGCUUUAAAAUAACCCAGAGCCCACAACCAUCCCCUCCCCCCACAAUAAUAAAUUAAAAUCAUCCGAACCACCGUUGGGCGGCCCAGAGCAGCCGGCAGAGACCCCAGGCCAGAUGGAGGCCGGCUGAGGGGUCCCAGCCAGGCCGGUGCGCAGGGCUGCGGGGCGCAGAGUCGGCUCCCCCCUUCGCUCCGAUCCCGCUGCUCUGUGUUCAGUCCUGAUUGUUUA
Non-coding RNA from Chelonoidis abingdonii (Abingdon island giant tortoise), 1426 nucleotides. The record is from RefSeq and is a predicted model, not a curated record. Lineage: Eukaryota; Metazoa; Chordata; Testudines; Testudinidae.